Molecule: long non-coding RNA, 977 nt
Organism: Girardinichthys multiradiatus
Lineage: Eukaryota; Metazoa; Chordata; Actinopteri; Cyprinodontiformes; Goodeidae
Exons: 6
Source: RefSeq, a predicted model, not a curated record
ACCGCCAUUAAACACCAGAAGAAGAAGAACAGGACAUUGCCUUAUAGGAGAAGAAGAGCAGGGAACGUGACGUAGAUUCAAAGCGUUGAAGAAAACGAGGAAUAAAAAUAAGAUCAUCUUUCCAAAUCUCUAAAUGACAGACCCAAAAGAGGAUGAAGUGCACAGCGCUGCAAUGAACUUAAUAGAAAUGCUAAGAAGAACACUCCAUAAUCCAGAAACAAGAGUUUCCCUGGACUGUUUAAAGAAAGACCCAAUUCGAGACCUCCAUUGCGUUGGACAAAAAAAAGGCCUAGUAGCAAAAUUAUACCUGUCCAGUUCUUCCUUUUGCAGAGAGCCUCAGAAAAAAACUCCCAAACUCACUGAGGAGCUCUUCUAUAGGCUGGGUUGGGAAGAAGAACAGUGAAUAUUACUGAGGAUGCUGGCCAUAAGGAGGUCACAGAAAUUAUCUGUGAGGUGUUUCCAAAAAUGAACCAGCUGGAUGGGGCAUGGAUGCUUUGCAAGGCUAUGGAUGCAGACCUUAAAGAAAAAAACUGCUGCACGUGGAGAAGAAAUGGCUGGCAAGGGAAACCAACAUCUGUCGCUCCAGAAUUUCUUUCAGUGGGUCACAGGUCAUGCUCACAUACCACUGAUAGAGUCUCAGCGAAGCAUGUUCAAAAUCACUAUCAAUUUUGAGCAUAACUGCAACUCCCUCUAUGGGGAACAUGGUGUGUGUUACCCAGUUGUCAAUGCCUGUGUGACAUUUCCCAUAUGUCACUUACGGACAUAAAGUGACUUUGAGAAGAACCUGAGCACUGCAUUAGAGUUCCGUUAUGAAUUUAGCAGGUACUAAAUAACUAUUUAAAAACUUAGUUUGAGUUCUGUUUUGUUUUGCAGCUAAAGCUAGCUUGUGAUUGUUUCAACCCUAUUAUUGUAUUUAAAAAGGGUGGAAAAUACUUAAAGAGUAAACCUUUUUCAGAAAAUAAAGUUUUCAAAGAAUU